CAAGGAGAGGCGCAUCUCACGGUUAAACGACGCUUCUCCAAGCUCGUGGGUGGCUCUAAACAGUGACGAUCAGGCUGAAGGUUUGCUUUUCACUUCAGUUUCGUUCUGUGCUUUCAAACGUCUUGAAAAAUUUUCAUACUCCUGCCUUCUACAACUGCACAGCUCUCCGACUCAACAUUGAGAUGACAGCAUUCGAGGGAAUGAUACAUUUUCUGCUGGGUUCAUUUACUAUAACAUACGAAGGACACAAAGGGGAUCAUGACAGAUGAGAAACCUUUACCAGGGCUUUCAGGAGAUGCAGGUGAUUGAUCCUGGGAGGUGAAUGGCCACUACUGUACUUCUACUUCUGAAGGGACCUUAUAUUUUGAGAUGUCUGAAUGUGCUCCAGUGUAGGACUCCCAAUUUUUUCCACUUGCAUUAUGGAACUGAGCAUAGACAGAGUAUGACUUCCUAUUUGUGAUCUUGUUUGUGUUAAUUUGUAAAAUAUCAUGUUGAACUCUGAACUAUUUCGACCUGGUGAAUAUUGUGUGCAUUGUGAUCAAGAAAUUGACUUAGUUUUUAUGUAUCUUUGAUGACUAUUUAGUUUGGGGAU
Long non-coding RNA from Schistocerca serialis cubense, 592 nucleotides. RefSeq lists it as uncharacterized. NCBI's taxonomy places the organism in Eukaryota, Metazoa, Arthropoda, Insecta, Orthoptera, Acrididae. The record is from RefSeq and is a predicted model, not a curated record. The transcript has 3 exons.